ACUACGGGCGGCAGCAGUGGGGAAUAUUGGACAAUGGGCGAAAGCCUGAUCCAGCGAUGCCGCGUGUGUGAAGAAGGCCUUCGGGUUGUAAAGCACUUUCAGUGGGGAAGAAAGCCUUGGGGCUAAUACCCUCGAGGAAGGACAUCACCCACAGAAGAAGCACCGGCUAACUCCGUGCCAGCAGCCGCGGUAAUACGGAGGGUGCGAGCGUUAAUCGGAAUUACUGGGCGUAAAGCGCGCGUAGGCGGUCUGAUAAGCCGGUUGUGAAAGCCCCGGGCUCAACCUGGGAACGGCAUCCGGAACUGUCAGGCUAGAGUGCAGGAGAGGAAGGUAGAAUUCCCGGUGUAGCGGUGAAAUGCGUAGAGAUCGGGAGGAAUACCAGUGGCGAAGGCGGCCUUCUGGACUGACACUGACGCUGAGGUGCGAAAGCGUGGGUAGCAAACAGGAUUAGAUACCCUGGUAGUC
RNAcentral lists this ribosomal RNA (465 nucleotides) under Vreelandella stevensii. RNAcentral's name for it is "partial 16S ribosomal RNA". It matches the Rfam family "Bacterial small subunit ribosomal RNA", at positions 338 to 795 of the family's 1533-position model. Lineage: Bacteria; Pseudomonadati; Pseudomonadota; Gammaproteobacteria; Oceanospirillales; Halomonadaceae. The record is from RNAcentral.